RNAcentral lists this long non-coding RNA (1382 nucleotides) under Equus asinus (donkey). RNAcentral describes it as "lncRNA (ENSEASG00005030993.1)". The record is from RNAcentral. Lineage: Eukaryota; Metazoa; Chordata; Mammalia; Perissodactyla; Equidae.
GCGGCGGCGGGGGCCGGGGGCGGGGGCUCGGGCGCCUUGAGGGCGGCGGGCGGCGGCGGCUGGUGCACGGGGUCCAGGGCCGUGUUGUGCACGACCUUGCUGAGCCCGGCCUCCUGCUUGAUCUUGAGCUUGAGGCCGAUGCGGCUGCGGGCCUCGUAGGUCUUGAUGGGCGGCCGAUUGCGGGAGGGCAUCGGGCCGUCCUCGUCAGCGUCCAGGGAGGAGGCGGCGGAGGACGAGGACGACGAGGACGACAGGGAGGACGAGGACGCGCGGGCCCAGGUCACCGAAGGGGAGCCGCCCGCGCCGCCGUGCCGGAUCACCAGCUUGGUGGGCAGGUGCAGAGGGGGCGGGGCCGGGGCCCCGGAUGCUGAGGACGGUGGGGGGCCGUGGCCCGGGAGCCGGUGUCCGACGUCGGAAGAGGCGGCGAUGGGGAGGCCGAGGGAGCGCGAGGAAGACACGUACUCGUCUGCGAACAGAGCGAGGAAAAGCAUGAGGCCCCGCGCAGAGCAGAGACAUGCUCGUCUCCACCCUGUGCUGAAGACCAGUGGCCCCCACAUGUCACAGGGCAGGUCUGUCUUGUGCUUCCAGAAUCCAGCACAGGACUGGGCCCUGGUGUCUGCAGGUCUCUGUCCAACUGGCUCGGGCUCUGGCGUGCCCCCCGCCUGGACCGUCCUGCUGAUCCACCCGCCGCCGCCCGCGUCUGUCUCGUCUGCCCCUGACGGCCUGUCCGCCUCAUCUGCCCCUCCUGCCCCUGGCGGCGUCACUCCAGCCCCUGCCCUCCGCUCUGGGGGCCCCUUACCUGCAGCCCGGAGGACUUCCCCGGCCCGGAUGACGCGGCUUUGGCCACACUCAGGGUCGGGAGGCUGUUGGCAAAGGCUUUGCUCUCGGCGGGAAGCAGAGGAGAGACGCCUGGGGCGGGCGGGGCAGACAGGGCGCAGGGGUCAGUGGCACAGAGGCCACCCUACAAACGUGACCCCCAAGCCUGCAUCCCGCUCUCCUCCAGUUGUCUGGCCUUGGUGGCCACGCCAGCCCCACAGUGAGUGCCCCUUGGAUCUGGGGAGACAGGCCCCCUCCUCCACCUGCCCCGUCCCCUGAGGUCAGGCCCCCCCCGGGCUCACAGCCCCCACAGCUCUACCCCAGCCCAUCCUCCCUGUUGCUCAGCCCCGCACCCACCCACCUUUGGGCCCCCAUCUCUCCUGCUGCUCCCCUACCUGUGGUGGCCAUGGGUGCCGGGGCAGGGGGAUGGCUGGGGGCGGUGGGGGUCCCCGAUGGGGCCUGCCCGCUGACCAGCACAGAGGCCGUGGGGUUGGCGAGGGGCCCCAGGCUGGCGGAGGUCUGCGGGGCAGCGGGGCCCCCCCCGGCCUUGUUCUGGAGAAUGAUCC